AGCUUUGCGCAGUGGCAGUAUCGUAGCCAAUGAGGUUUAUCUGAGGCACGAUUAUUGCUAAUUA
Molecule: small nuclear RNA, 64 nt
Filed under: Ictidomys tridecemlineatus (thirteen-lined ground squirrel)
Lineage: Eukaryota; Metazoa; Chordata; Mammalia; Rodentia; Sciuridae
Description: Spermophilus tridecemlineatus (thirteen-lined ground squirrel) U4 spliceosomal RNA
Rfam family: U4 spliceosomal RNA
About the family: U4 small nuclear RNA (U4 snRNA) is a component of the major U2-dependent spliceosome.
Source: Rfam by way of RNAcentral